GACGAACGCUGGCGGCGUGCCUAAUACAUGCAAGUAGAACGCUGAAGAGAGGAGCUUGCUCUUCUUGGAUGAGUUGCGAACGGGUGAGUAACGCGUAGGUAACCUGCCUUGUAGCGGGGGAUAACUAUUGGAAACGAUAGCUAAUACCGCAUAACAAUGGAUGACACAUGUCAUUUAUUUGAAAGGGGCAAUUGCUCCACUACAAGAUGGACCUGCGUUGUAUUAGCUAGUAGGUGAGGUAACGGCUCACCUAGGCGACGAUACAUAGCCGACCUGAGAGGGUGAUCGGCCACACUGGGACUGAGACACGGCCCAGACUCCUACGGGAGGCAGCAGUAGGGAAUCUUCGGCAAUGGGGGCAACCCUGACCGAGCAACGCCGCGUGAGUGAGGAAGGUUUUCGGAUCGUAAAGCUCUGUUGUAAGUCAAGAACGAGUGUGAGAGUGGAAAGUUCACACUGUGACGGUAGCUUACCAGAAAGGGACGGCUAACUACGUGCCAGCAGCCGCGGUAAUACGUAGGUCCCGAGCGUUGUCCGGAUUUAUUGGGCGUAAAGCGAGCGCAGGCGGUUUGAUAAGUCUGAAGUUAAAGGCUGUGGCUCAACCAUAGUUCGCUUUGGAAACUGUCAAACUUGAGUGCAGAAGGGGAGAGUGGAAUUCCAUGUGUAGCGGUGAAAUGCGUAGAUAUAUGGAGGAACACCGGUGGCGAAAGCGGCUCUCUGGUCUGUAACUGACGCUGAGGCUCGAAAGCGUGGGGAGCGAACAGGAUUAGAUACCCUGGUAGUCCACGCCGUAAACGAUGAGUGCUAGGUGUUGGAUCCUUUCCGGGAUUCAGUGCCGCAGCUAACGCAUUAAGCACUCCGCCUGGGGAGUACGACCGCAAGGUUGAAACUCAAAGGAAUUGACGGGGGCCCGCACAAGCGGUGGAGCAUGUGGUUUAAUUCGAAGCAACGCGAAGAACCUUACCAGGUCUUGACAUCCCGAUGCUAUUUCUAGAGAUAGAAAGUUACUUCGGUACAUCGGUGACAGGUGGUGCAUGGUUGUCGUCAGCUCGUGUCGUGAGAUGUUGGGUUAAGUCCCGCAACGAGCGCAACCCCUAUUGUUAGUUGCCAUCAUUCAGUUGGGCACUCUAGCGAGACUGCCGGUAAUAAACCGGAGGAAGGUGGGGAUGACGUCAAAUCAUCAUGCCCCUUAUGACCUGGGCUACACACGUGCUACAAUGGUUGGUACAACGAGUUGCGAGUCGGUGACGGCAAGCUAAUCUCUUAAAGCCAAUCUCAGUUCGGAUUGUAGGCUGCAACUCGCCUACAUGAAGUCGGAAUCGCUAGUAAUCGCGGAUCAGCACGCCGCGGUGAAUACGUUCCCGGGCCU
Molecule: ribosomal RNA, 1369 nt
Filed under: uncultured bacterium
Lineage: Bacteria
Description: bacterial SSU rRNA
Rfam family: Bacterial small subunit ribosomal RNA
Source: RNAcentral